GUCAUGACUGACAGCAUGACUGUGAUGGAUGUGUUCACAGUCAUGAUUACUAAUGAAAGUGAAUUUAUAACAACUAGAUCCGGGAAUCUAAAGAAGAAGAACAUAGAGAAAUUAGGUCACUGUUUUAAUUUUAGACCAGGGACACCUGUUCUUGUCACUACCAACAUGAUUGUAGUAAAGACUCAGCGGACUUUGCAAAUAAAGUUUAAGAAAGCUUAUAAAUGCAUUUGCAGCAUAUAAUAGUAUAGGCUACUAUUAGAGGACAGUCAGUCAGUUAUGAAUAAUCUUCAGAUCAAGAAUGAUGCCUCCCCUGUUCCUCCCUCUGUGAAAGACUUGGAGAGGGUUUUGUUUGGUGGAAAAAGAUUUGGCAACCAUGUGGAUGAAGUGUGGCCUAACCUCUUCAUUGGAGACAUGUCUGUUGCCAAUGAUCGGUACAGUCUGUGGAAGCUGGGAAUCACUCAUGUUCUGAACGCUGCUCAUGGGAGGAUGUACUGUCAGGGAAGUCAUGACUUCUAUGGAUCCACUGUGGAUUACUAUGGAGUGCCUGCUGAUGACUCACCAUCCUUUGACCUCUCUCGCUAUUUCUUCCCCUCUGCCGAGUAUAUUCAGAAUGCACUUGACACGCCUGGUGCUAGGAUUUUUGUCCACUGCGCAGUUGGAGUGAGCAGGUCUGCCUCCCUUGUCCUGGCCUAUCUGAUGAUCCAUCACCAUUACUCUCUGCUUGAUGCUAUCAAUAAGAUCAAGGAGCACAGGUGGAUUUUCCCAAACAGAGGAUUCCUCCGACAGCUCCGUGCUUUGGAUAUAAAACUACACAAGACACCAUGAAGAGAGGGAAAUGAACAAAGACUUGCACCCUAAGCACAGUCAUGUCAACAUAAUCUUCUGCAGCGCGCAAGGGAACAACUGAAACUACAUCGGAAACAAGUGGAAUAAUCUUGCCCCGCUGGCAGAGUGUCUUGUUAAAAUAAGACAUUUUUGCUGUGUGAGGACAGUUUGGCGUCGGGUGCA
RNA transcript from Myripristis murdjan (pinecone soldierfish), 1008 nucleotides. It is a transcript of the gene named dual specificity protein phosphatase 13-like, with no coding region annotated. Lineage: Eukaryota; Metazoa; Chordata; Actinopteri; Holocentriformes; Holocentridae. The transcript is spliced from 4 exons. The record is from RefSeq and is a predicted model, not a curated record.